Molecule: small nucleolar RNA, 107 nt
Filed under: Ceratitis capitata (Mediterranean fruit fly)
Lineage: Eukaryota; Metazoa; Arthropoda; Insecta; Diptera; Tephritidae
Description: small nucleolar RNA Me28S-Am2589
Rfam family: Small nucleolar RNA Me28S-Am2589
About the family: Me28S-Am2589 is a member of the C/D class of snoRNA which contain the C (UGAUGA) and D (CUGA) box motifs. This family directs 2'-O-methylation of 28S A-2589.
Source: Rfam by way of RNAcentral
AUGAAUAUGAUGAUAAAAUGUCACUGAACAAGUCCACCGACUCUAUUUUUGAGAAAGUCAACUUCAAUAGGAUGUUCGCAUUUGCGAGGCAUUUGUCUGAUUCAUGC